CUUAUCACCAGUGCCAACUUUUGUUCAUAUAUGGAAGAAAAGGGCAGUGGAGCAAUAUUCCCCAACCCCUUACCUUGCCACCUUAUUGAAUUGCAUGGUAUGGGUGCUGUAUGGGCUGCCCAUGGUGCACCCUAAAAGCUUAUUGGUUAUAACCAUAAAUGGAUCAGGGACAGCCAUUGAAAUUCUCUACAUUAUCCUUUUCAUCAUCUACUCAGACAAGAAAAAGAGGGUUAAAGUGCUGCUAAUAGUGCUUGUUGAGCUUAUUUUCAUCGCUGGCCUUGCCAUUCUGGUCCUAACUUUAGCCCACACCACCAAGAAAAGGUCUAUCAUUGUGGGGUUUAUCUGCAUAUGCUUUAACAUCAUGAUGUAUGCCUCCCCAUUAUCAGUCAUGAAGCUUGUAAUUACAACAAAUAGUGUGGAGUAUAUGCCAUUCUUCCUAUCUCUUGCUUCCUUUGCCAAUAGUCUUACCUGGUCUACUUAUGCUCUCAUCCUUUUCGAUCCAUUCAUCCUUAUUCCUAACGGGUUGGGUUCGCUACUUGCAUUGGCGCAACUGGCACUGUAUGCGGUGUACUACAAAUCUACAAAGAGGGAAAUAGCAGCAAGGGAAGGGAAAGCCGAGUUGGGUUUAUCACAAGUAGUUGUGAAUGGAGAUUCCAAGAAGCCACACACUGCAUCUCUCAAUGCUUCUUCUGCUUCUGGGAUCAAAUAGGACUUGACAGUCCAAUCUAAUUUUCCAAUGGUAGGACCCUGUUUCUUGGGUUCCCCCCCUAAUGGUUUGGGAAGGUAACCUACCAAAGGUACAAUUUGCUGCGUAAGCAGCCAACCAUGGUUUUUGCCUCAUCAAUCUAUGUUUUGUGAUUGGUUUUUCUAUAUGUAGUUUUGGUGUUUUAAGAACCAUAUGUGAGCGUAUGCUUGAGAAUGUCAUAAAUUUGCUUUUGGUAAAAACCAUGGUUGGCUGCUUACGCAGCA
RNAcentral lists this unclassified non-coding RNA (969 nucleotides) under Hevea brasiliensis (rubber tree). The record is from RNAcentral. Lineage: Eukaryota; Viridiplantae; Streptophyta; Magnoliopsida; Malpighiales; Euphorbiaceae.